UACGAAGGGUGCAAGCGUUAAUCGGAAUUACUGGGCGUAAAGCGUGCGUAGGUGGUCUUUUAAGUCCGUUGUGAAAGCCCUGGGCUCAACCUGGGAAUGGCAGUGGAUACUGGAAGGCUGGAGUACGGUAGAGGAGGGUGGAAUUCCUGGUGUAGCGGUGAAAUGCGCAGAUAUCAGGAGGAACACCGGUGGCGAAGGCGGGUCUCUGGGCCGAUACUGACGCUGAGGAGCGAAAGCGUGGGGAGCGAACAGG
Molecule: ribosomal RNA, 253 nt
Filed under: uncultured bacterium
Lineage: Bacteria
Description: partial 16S ribosomal RNA
Rfam family: Bacterial small subunit ribosomal RNA
Source: RNAcentral